Molecule: ribosomal RNA, 459 nt
Filed under: uncultured bacterium
Lineage: Bacteria
Description: SSU rRNA
Rfam family: Bacterial small subunit ribosomal RNA
Source: RNAcentral
AGAAUCAACGCUGGCGGCGUGCCUAACACAUGCAAGUCGAACGAGAAAGUGGAGCAAUCCAUGAGUACAGUGGCGCACGGGUGAGUAACACGUGACUAACCUACCCUUGAGUGGGGGAUAACCUAGGGAAACCUGGGCUAAUACCGCAUAAUACCUUCGGGUCAAAGGAGCAAUUCGCUUUAGGAGGGGGUCGCGGCCGAUUAGUUAGUUGGCGGGGUAAUGGCCCACCAAGACUGUGAUCGGUAUCCGGCCUGAGAGGGCGCACGGACACACUGGAACUGAAACACGGUCCAGACUCCUACGGGAGGCAGCAGUGGGGAAUUUGCGCAAUGGGGGAAACCCUGACGCAGCAACGCCGCGUGGAGGAUGAAGCCCCUUGGGGCGUAAACUCCUUUCGAUCGGGACGAUAAUGACGGUACCGAGAGAAGAAGCCCCGGCUAACUUCGUGCCAGCAGCCGC